RNAcentral lists this transfer RNA (69 nucleotides) under Murina leucogaster (Greater tube-nosed bat). RNAcentral describes it as "tRNA-Ile". The record is from RNAcentral. Lineage: Eukaryota; Metazoa; Chordata; Mammalia; Chiroptera; Vespertilionidae.
AGAAAUAUGUCUGAUAAUAGAGUUACUUUGAUAGAGUAAACCAUAGAGGUUUGAGUCCUCUUAUUUCUA